AUGGGAGGGAAGGGUUAAGGAUGCGAGUUGUAUCUUUCGUGCGAAAGAAUGAUUGAUCUUUUAUGACAUUGCUCAUUAGAUUGCAUUUCAUAUAUAUCUCAAAACACUUCAAAGUUUUCCAUUCAUUUGCAUGCGUAGAUCUCGAAGCAACUACUGCACGAUCCGACGAUAGAUUCGUGCGAAGAAAGAUAAAUCUUUCUUUUGCGCAAAAGAUACAACCAUGUCUCGAGAUGGAAUAAGGGAUAGAGAGGAUAAGAAAGA
This 261-nucleotide long non-coding RNA is filed under the name Phoenix dactylifera (date palm). Its description in RNAcentral is "long non-coding RNA (PDAC_LNC007673)". Lineage: Eukaryota; Viridiplantae; Streptophyta; Magnoliopsida; Arecales; Arecaceae. The record is from RNAcentral.